This is a long non-coding RNA of Chelonia mydas (Green sea turtle), 534 nucleotides long. RefSeq lists it as uncharacterized. The transcript is spliced from 3 exons. Lineage: Eukaryota; Metazoa; Chordata; Testudines; Cheloniidae. The record is from RefSeq and is a predicted model, not a curated record.
CCCCCCCCCCCCAAUCGAGGCACAGGGAUCCCGGAUGCAGUGCGGCUCCUAACUUCUAGUGAUGUCAGUGGGAGUUGGGAACCUUCACGGAGCUGGGCCGGGGUGACGCUCCGCGGAUGACUUUACUCCCAGGAGGAGGAGGGUGAUCACGGUCGGGGAGUAAUAAAUAAAGAGCAGGCGGAGGGGCCCCGCUCCCGCAGUGGAGCAGAGCGGCCGCUUACCAGCUGCUGGAAGGCAGGUUGGUCCAGGUCGCUCUGCAAUGCGAAUUCACUGAGCGCUUUCCAAGGCGGCUGACAUAGAAUUGGUCCCUGGGAGCUGAUGUAUCCCGCACGAGGGAGCGUGGAGCAGAGGGGAGGUGCUGUCACGCACUCACACAGACAUUGUCUUCACCAGCGCUUGUUCUGGAACCAGACCCGGAUCACUCUGGGGCUCAGGCCGGUCAUCUCCACCAGCUGCUCCUUCAUCAGCGCGUCCGGCCGCGGGUUGGCCGCGUAGCAGGUCCGCAGCGUGUGCAGCUGCUUCUCGUUCAGCACC